UUUGGGUGUAUUCCGUAAGGAGAGCGCUCUGCAAAGGCGCUUUUAGAAGUUUCUUGCACCUUUC
RNAcentral lists this transfer RNA (64 nucleotides) under Postharmostomum commutatum. RNAcentral describes it as "tRNA-Cys". The record is from RNAcentral. Lineage: Eukaryota; Metazoa; Platyhelminthes; Trematoda; Diplostomida; Brachylaimidae.